This 429-nucleotide ribosomal RNA is filed under the name Gemmatimonadota bacterium. Its description in RNAcentral is "Gemmatimonadetes bacterium partial 16S ribosomal RNA". It matches the Rfam family "Bacterial small subunit ribosomal RNA", at positions 355 to 776 of the family's 1533-position model. The record is from RNAcentral. Lineage: Bacteria; Pseudomonadati; Gemmatimonadota.
UAGGGAAUCUUCGGCAAUGGACGAAAGUCUGACCGAGCAACGCCGCGUGAGUGAAGAAGGUUUUCGGAUCGUAAAACUCUGUUGUUAGAGAAGAACAAGGACGUUAGUAACUGAACGUCCCCUGACGGUAUCUAACCAGAAAGCCACGGCUAACUACGUGCCAGCAGCCGCGGUAAUACGUAGGUGGCAAGCGUUGUCCGGAUUUAUUGGGCGUAAAGCGAGCGCAGGCGGUUUCUUAAGUCUGAUGUGAAAGCCCCCGGCUCAACCGGGGAGGGUCAUUGGAAACUGGGAGGAUUGAGUGCAGAAGAGGAGAGUGGAAUUCCAUGUGUAGCGGAGAAAUGCGUAGAUAGAUGGAGGAACACCAGUGGCGAAGGCGGCUCUCUGGUCUGUAACUGACGCUGAGGCUCGAAAGCGGGGGGAGCAAACAGG